AUUGAUUGUGACAUCGGUUAUUUUGGUUUGGUCCUUUUACAAUAAUUGUUCUCUCAGUAAAGUUAGUUUACGCAAAAAAAAGUUUAAAAUUUCUGUCCAUAAGGAAGAUGUUUCAUUAUAACUUUAUAUAAACAAAAGGAUGAAAUCUCAUAGACUGUCAUGUCAAAUUGUGCAAUGCCAGAUUAGAGUUUCACAGAGGAUGAAC
Non-coding RNA from Pelobates cultripes (western spadefoot toad), 205 nucleotides. NCBI's taxonomy places the organism in Eukaryota, Metazoa, Chordata, Amphibia, Anura, Pelobatidae. The record is from the annotation of a GenBank genome assembly.